UUUUUUUUAUCGUCUAAAGUAAGUUCCAAGCACAAAUAAGUUAGUAUGGAUUUUAUAUAAUAGAGAUAUUGAGUUAAGGAUUUCAAGCUUUGAAAUAAAGAGAAACCCAUUUUUAAUUACAAUUUAUCUCUCCUUGAGUCAUCUACUUUAGAUGAUAAAGCAUCACUCUCUCUUCUUCAUAACUUCUCAUCAAGUCCCAAAGUGUAUUUUCCCAUAACUCAAUUGUUCUCUUCAAUAUUUCAGUUUAAUUACCCAAGUGUUUGAGAAUUGGGAGAAACCCCAAAACAAAGAUAUAAACCCCAAACAAUAAUUUUCUCUCUCCUCUGAUUUUAUACCCCGUACUGUGCAUGCUCAAUUUCUUCAUUUUGGAUUCGGAAUUUGCCAAAACUUAUUGAAUCAAAGUUGUAGAUCUCAAAAAGUUAUUGAACUUAGACCCAAAAAUCACUUGAUUUGGAGUUGGGAGCUAUGAGUUAUGGUCUUUGUAAGUUUGGUGCUCCUAUCUUAAUUUCUCUCUCCUCUGUUUUUAUUCCGACAAUCUGUUGCCCCAAUUAUCUACAACAUGCAAUCCAAUUUUGCUCUUUGUUUCUAAAUCAAAGUUGUAUAUCACUUCGAGCUAAUGAAUUUGGGCACAAAAAUCACUUGAUUUGGAGUUCGGAGCUAUGAGUUAUGGUCUUUGUAAGUUUGGUGUUCCUAUCUUCAUUUCUCUCUCCUAUGUUUUUAUUCCAACAAUCUGUUUCCUCAAUUAUCUACAACAUGCAAUCCAAUUUUGCUCUUUGUUGCUGAAUCAAAGUUGUAGAUCACUUCGAGCUAAUGAAUUUGGGCACAAAAAUUGCUCAAUUCGGAGUUCGGAACUAGGAGUUACGCCUCACACAAGUUCAGCACUGCUGAUGUACCUUGUGUUGCGCUGCUGUCAUGGUUGGCUUGUUUGCCCAUGUUGUCAUUGCUAACUUGUUGCCUUGUUGCUGCCAUUGUUGGUAUUCCUUUCCAUAUGAAGGUCGUUGUUGGAGUAUGUAUAUGGAGAUAAUUUAUGAAGUUCGAGCUAUAGUUGGUUAUCCAGAAUGUCGAAUUAUUGGGAAUCGUUUAAAGGGUUCAUUGUUAAUGAUUUUGCAGGGUUGAUGUCGAGGACUUGGAAUAUGAUUAUUGAUCAAGAAGAAGAUUUUUAUGUUAUGAGAUGGUGGACUGAGGUUAAAGUUCGAUGCUUUGUUUGGAAGUAUUUGUAAUCUGUUAUUUGAUUUUCAAGUUGUUAUGUUGUGGGCCCCUGACCCACGGAUCCAGGAUCGUUUUUAUAGGUUUUGUUUCCGCUGUGAAUAAAUGUAAAUUCGAGGAUUGUUAAGUGUUGAUUGUGUUUUGUGUA
Long non-coding RNA from Beta vulgaris subsp. vulgaris (sugar beet), 1354 nucleotides. RefSeq lists it as uncharacterized. Lineage: Eukaryota; Viridiplantae; Streptophyta; Magnoliopsida; Caryophyllales; Amaranthaceae. The record is from RefSeq and is a predicted model, not a curated record. The transcript is spliced from 3 exons.